Molecule: transfer RNA, 72 nt
Filed under: Actinomadura madurae
Lineage: Bacteria; Bacillati; Actinomycetota; Actinomycetes; Streptosporangiales; Thermomonosporaceae
Description: tRNA-Asn(gtt)
Rfam family: tRNA
About the family: Transfer RNA (tRNA) molecules are approximately 80 nucleotides in length. Their secondary structure includes four short double-helical elements and three loops (D, anti-codon, and T loops). Further hydrogen bonds mediate the characteristic L-shaped molecular structure. tRNAs have two regions of fundamental functional importance: the anti-codon, which is responsible for specific mRNA codon recognition, and the 3' end, to which the tRNAs corresponding amino acid is attached (by aminoacyl-tRNA synthetases). tRNAs cope with the degeneracy of the genetic code in two manners: having more than one tRNA (with a specific anti-codon) for a particular amino acid; and 'wobble' base-pairing, i.e. permitting non-standard base-pairing at the 3rd anti-codon position.
Source: RNAcentral
UUCCUCGUGGUUCAACGGCGGAACGCCGCACUGUUAAUGCGGAUAUCCAGGUUCGAAUCCUGGCGGGGGAGC